AGUGAACGCUGGCGGUAGGCCUAACACAUGCAAGUCGAACGGCAGCACAGUAAGAGCUUGCUCUUACGGGUGGCGAGUGGCGGACGGGUGAGGAAUACAUCGGAAUCUACUUUUUCGUGGGGGAUAACGUAGGGAAACUUACGCUAAUACCGCAUACGACCUACGGGUGAAAGCAGGGGAUCUUCGGACCUUGCGCGAUUGAAUGAGCCGAUGUCGGAUUAGCUAGUUGGCGGGGUAAAGGCCCACCAAGGCGACGAUCCGUAGCUGGUCUGAGAGGAUGGUCAGCCACACUGGAACUGAGACACGGUCCAGACUCCUACGGGAGGCAGCAGUGGGGAAUAUUGGACAAUGGGCGCAAGCCUGAUCCAGCCAUACCGCGUGGGUGAAGAAGGCCUUCGGGUUGUAAAGCCCCUUUGUUGGGAAAGAAAAGCAGCAGGUUAAUACCCCGCUGUUCUGACGGUACCCAAAGAAUAAGCACCGGCUAACUUCGUG
Molecule: ribosomal RNA, 492 nt
Filed under: uncultured bacterium
Lineage: Bacteria
Description: partial 16S ribosomal RNA
Rfam family: Bacterial small subunit ribosomal RNA
Source: RNAcentral